AGAGACAGCAGUCGCCGCGGGAAUACGGAGGAUCCAAGCGUUAUCCGGAAUCAUUGGGUUUAAAGGGUCCGUAGGCGGUCUUGUAAGUCAGUGGUGAAAGCCCAUCGCUCAACGGUGGAACGGCCAUUGAUACUGCAGGACUUGAAUUAUUGGGAAGUAACUAGAAUAUGUAGUGUAGCGGUGAAAUGCUUAGAGAUUACAUGGAAUACCAAUUGCGAAGGCAGGUUACUACCAAUUGAUUGACGCUGAUGGACGAAAGCGUGGGUAGCGAACAGGAUUAGAUACCCCGGUAGUCCCUGUCUCUUAUAC
Molecule: ribosomal RNA, 309 nt
Filed under: uncultured bacterium
Lineage: Bacteria
Description: partial 16S ribosomal RNA
Rfam family: Bacterial small subunit ribosomal RNA
Source: RNAcentral